AUUGAACGCUGGCGGCAGGCCUAACACAUGCAAGUCGAACGAGUGGCGGACGGGUGAGUAAUGUCUGGGAAACUGCCUGAUGGAGGGGGAUAACUACUGGAAACGGUAGCUAAUACCGCAUACCAUCGGAUGUGCCCAGAUGGGAUUAGCUAGUAGGUGGGGUAAAGGCUCACCUAGGCGGCGAUCCCUAGCUGGUCUGAGCGGAUGACAGGCCACACUGGAACUGAGAAAAGGUCAAGGAUCCUACGGGAGGCAGAAGUUGGGAAUAUUGCACAAUGGGCGAAAGCCUGAUGCAGCCAUGCCGCGUGUAUGAAGAAGGCCGUCGGGUUGUAAAGUACUUGCAGCGGGGAGGCGUUACCCGCAGAAGAAGCACCGGCUAACUCCGUGCCAGCAGCCGCGGUAAUUC
Molecule: ribosomal RNA, 406 nt
Filed under: uncultured bacterium
Lineage: Bacteria
Description: partial 16S ribosomal RNA
Rfam family: Bacterial small subunit ribosomal RNA
Source: RNAcentral